Long non-coding RNA from Canis lupus familiaris (dog), 645 nucleotides. RefSeq lists it as uncharacterized. NCBI's taxonomy places the organism in Eukaryota, Metazoa, Chordata, Mammalia, Carnivora, Canidae. The record is from RefSeq and is a predicted model, not a curated record. The transcript is spliced from 6 exons.
GGACAGCAGCCCUGCAAUUCAAGAGGAGAAAAAGAUUGGAGAGACAUCUUUGAGGCACAGUCCAUUAGCUUAGUCCACUUAGUCACACUCAGGAGAUUGCUUUGGCCCAGAACUACCUUAUAAGGCAGUAUCACCAUUAUGCCUUUAUAUGAGGCAGCUGAGCUCAGGGAUCCAGUCAUCCAAGAGAUGACUCCUGAGAUACAUCUCAACAAGCUGCACGAAAAACCAGGGCUUCAUCGUCGAGCUGUUACCAAAUGGGAAACUUCCUAUUAUUCCAAGGAUGGUGGGCGAAUAUCUCUUCAGAAAUGGAAACAUACCUCCCAGCCACCUUGAUUUUUUUCCCAAAGGAUCUAAUAAUGAUUGAUGUGUCCAGACAAAAAGAAUAAUUUGCUGGUAUAUAAGGAACUAAGUUACAAAAGACUUAAGGAUACAGGAACAUAGGAUUUAUUGAAUGCUGCAAUUUGACUUGCUGUGUGUACAAACAUCAUUACUGGAAUAAUGAAAAAUCAUACCUAUCACUUUGUCAAGUAAAAUUAAGGUUAGCAACAUGAGUAGUCAGGGAAAUAUGUUCCAAGUUUAAUGGCUCCUCCCAUCACCACCUAACUCUUCUGGCAAGUUUUGUAAGCAGAGGUUUACACCCUCUGA